Molecule: ribosomal RNA, 304 nt
Filed under: uncultured Alphaproteobacteria bacterium
Lineage: Bacteria; Pseudomonadati; Pseudomonadota; Alphaproteobacteria
Description: bacterial SSU rRNA
Rfam family: Bacterial small subunit ribosomal RNA
Source: RNAcentral
GGCGGCACGCCUAACACAUGCAAGUCGAACGAAGUAGCAAUACUUAGUGGCAGACGGGUGAGUAACAUGUAGGUAUCUACCCUUUGGCCUGGAAUAACACGAGGAAACUUGUGCUAAUACCGGAUAAGUCUUUACAGAGAAAGCUUUAUGCACCAUUGGAUGAGCCUGCACUUGAUUAGUUUGUUGGUGGGGUAAUGGCCUACCAAGACUGUGAUCAAUAGCUGAUUUGAGAGGAUGAUCAGCCACAUUGGGACUGAGACACGGCCCAAACUCCUACGGGAGGCAGCAGUGGGGAAUCUUGCAC